CGAUGCCCGUGAUGCCGCCCCCCACCACGAUGCCGCCCCGGGCAACCGCCCGUGUCGCCCGUAUCUAAAACCGCUACUGUGUGUGCACAAAGAACAGGAUUUUUUAAGACUUGGGACGGGUACAGCUGACAAAAACCAAAAAAACCCUAUGGCGUUUAAUUUGUAUUAAAAACAUAAUAUACAAUCUAUAUAUGAAAUUUUUUCUCAAACAUUUAAAACUUUAAAAAAUAAUGCUCAUCGCACACAUAGAAUUUCCCCUCCUUUCCCAUGACAGAACAGCUGACAUGUCAAUUUGAAUAAAUAUACAUCUGGUUAAAAAAAGUUUGUAAUUUUUUUUUUUUUUUUUUUUUUUUACAAAAUACCAAAAGACAGCUAUAGGACAGGAGUAAACCUCUUAAUCAGAAUCACACAGUUUCACUUCAUUUUACUACUUAAAUCUGCAUAAAAAUAUGAAAGGUGGUUUAGAGAACCUAGCUCAGGAUUAUCAUGAGGGAAAUUCCUGAGAACGAAACAGAAUCCAUGUUCAUAAAAACAGACGUUACUCAAUUAAACCCCAUCUGAAUUUCACUAUGAGGCAAAAAUAUUUCAACAGGUGAUCAUCAGUUCCCCAAAACAACCAUGAAAUGUGCGUGCCGUGAAAAUGGCAGCUACCAUAGAAACACUUAAGUAAAAAAACACAAACCCAAAACCCAUAAAAAGAUAAAAAUGUACCAAAAAUAUAAAAGACGGAUCUUUAAAGUUUUAAGUCAUAUUCUAACUAUUGAUAUAUGAUCAGAAAUCGGAGGACAUGAUGUGCCGCCCUCGUCCUCUGGGUCUGCGGGGAUGACGAGUCACACAUCUUGAUGAUUCUUUGAUGAUUUCUUCUUCUUCUGUGGAGAGACAGACAUGAGGGUUAUGAUCCGCCAACGUUGAGACUGGACACAUUUGUUUUCUAAGUUUCGAUCUGGGGCGGACUGAAGUAGCGUGAUACCUUUUUGUGGGAGUCGCUUGAGGCGGUUUCUGUCGCCAUGGCGUCUUGAAUUGAAUCUACAGGUAUUUCUGGGAUGUCGGCUGAUUUCAAUUUGCUUUUUUCUGAGGACAAAUGCAAAGCAAUUGUACAAAACCAUCAAACUACAUGUUUUUAAGCUAUGUGUGGGUUGUUUACUCACUUCUCUUCUUCUCUGUUGGAGAACUCGUUGCCUCUACGUCAGGUGGAGGCAGCGGCUCUGUGUUGGCGGGAUUAUUUUUCUUUUUCUUCUUGACACUCUUGACCUGCUCUGUUGUUUCCUCUACCUUAUUAUCUAUUAUAUCCUCAACUACCUGCUCUCUUUCUUCAUCAGGUUUUUCUUUUUUCUUCUUCUUUGAUUUCUUUUCAUGCAGUACUUGUUCUGGAUUUUCCUCACCAUUAAGGAAGUCCCUUUUCCUCUUCUUUGCCUUCUUUUCUACAGACGUCUGCUCUAAAGUCUCAAUUUCUUCAGCUUUUUGCUCUAUAUUAUUUGCUAUGUCUUCAGCUUUUUGCUUUGAAAUGCUUUCACUCUCAAAUGUCAAUGCAUUUUCCUCACUCCCUGUUUUCUUCUUUUUCUUCUUCUUGGCUUUCUUUUCUUCUGCUAUGUGGUCUGAGGUUUGGUUGUUUUCUUCCUGUUUGCUCUCUGUGUUUUUUUUCACUUCCUCAGAUACCUGCUCAGAAUUUCCAGUCUGUGCCAAACUUCCCUCACUACCAGCCUUCUCUUUCUUCUUCUUCUUUUGCUUCUUUUCUUGUACCGUUGACUCUGAAAGGGUUUUCUCGUCAGCGUUCCCUCUUGUGUUUGUCUCAAUCGUCUCAUUUCUUUCAGCAUCAUCUUUGGUUUCUUUUGCCUUUUUAUUCACCUUUGGAGGUUUUUUAGCCUCCUCCUGCUUCGUGUCUUUGGUUUUUCUCGUCUCUUCGCCACAUUCCUCUUUUCCAUCUUCACCCGUCUCAUUCUUUUCCUCCUUGUCUGCAAUUUUCUCUUUCUUUUUCUUCUUCUUCUUGGGCUCAGAUGUUCUGUCAUCAGUUGUUUGUUCACUGGGAGUUGCAGUUUCCCUGUCCUCUUUUAUUUGUUUGUCCGCUGGAGAUGAGAGGUUCUGCUUUUGGCUCGGAGUGCUUGAGGUCACAGAAAUCACAUUUUUUGUCACAUUCUUCUUGGUUGAGCUUGUCUUUGUUUUUUUUUCAGUCACAUGUUUCUCGCCACCCUCUUCAUUGUGUUUCACUGUCCCGUUACUCUGUUUAACUGGGGUUCCAGUUUUCGCCGGAGCCUUAGCCCGGGGUUUCCUGACUCUCUUUUUCGGGGGCUGAGGAGCAGAGGAGUCCAGAGCAUUGAUGGCAUUCAUCUUGACUAUGUCGGCAUCUGU
This is a long non-coding RNA of Oreochromis aureus, 2346 nucleotides long. NCBI's taxonomy places the organism in Eukaryota, Metazoa, Chordata, Actinopteri, Cichliformes, Cichlidae. The record is from Ensembl.